This 691-nucleotide ribosomal RNA is filed under the name Halomonas sp. ALANG-4. RNAcentral's name for it is "bacterial SSU rRNA". It matches the Rfam family "Bacterial small subunit ribosomal RNA", at positions 747 to 1435 of the family's 1533-position model. The record is from RNAcentral. Lineage: Bacteria; Pseudomonadati; Pseudomonadota; Gammaproteobacteria; Oceanospirillales; Halomonadaceae.
UGAGGUGCGAAAGCGUGGGUAGCAAACAGGAUUAGAUACCCUGGUAGUCCACGCCGUAAAACGAUGUCGACCAGCCCGUUGGGUGCCUAGCGCACUUUGUGGCGAAGUUAACGCGAUAAGUCGACCGCCUGGGGAGUACGGCCGCAAGGUUAAAACUCAAAUGAAUUGACGGGGGCCCGCACAAGCGGUGGAGCAUGUGGUUUAAUUCGAUGCAACGCGAAGAACCUUACCUACUCUUGACAUCCUGCGAACUUGUGAGAGAUCACUUGGUGCCUUCGGGAACGCAGAGACAGGUGCUGCAUGGCUGUCGUCAGCUCGUGUUGUGAAAUGUUGGGUUAAGUCCCGUAACGAGCGCAACCCUUCUCUUUAUUUGCCAGCGCGUAAUGGCGGGAACUCUAAGGAGACUGCCGGUGACAAACCGGAGGAAGGUGGGGACGACGUCAAGUCAUCAUGGCCCUUACGAGUAGGGCUACACACGUGCUACAAUGGCCGGUACAAAGGGUUGCGAGCUCCCGAGCCUCAGCUAAUCCCGAAAAGCCGGUCUCAGUCCGGAUCGGAGUCUGCAACUCGACUCCGUGAAGUCGGAAUCGCUAGUAAUCGUGAAUCAGAAUGUCACGGUGAAUACGUUCCCGGGCCUUGUACACACCGCCCGUCACACCAUGGGAGUGGACUGCACCAGAAGUGGUAGCUA